This 304-nucleotide long non-coding RNA is filed under the name Elaeis guineensis (African oil palm). RNAcentral's name for it is "long non-coding RNA (EGUI_LNC048138)". Lineage: Eukaryota; Viridiplantae; Streptophyta; Magnoliopsida; Arecales; Arecaceae. The record is from RNAcentral.
CACCUUUCCGUUUGUGUCCCUUUUCUUUUUGAAUAUCUAUUUACAUCCUAUAAGUUUAAUCCCUUCAGGUGGAUCAACAAGUAUCCUUACACUGUUGAUCUCAUGGACUCCAUCUUAGAUUUUAUGAUCUCAAGUUAUUUUUCAGAGUCGGAUCUUUACAUGGCAUCCAUAUAGGUGAUCGAAUUCUCGUCGUUCUCAUCGAGUUCAACAGAAUCAUAGUCUUGGAUUAAGAAACUAUAGUAUUUAUCCGACUGAUGCGGUACUCUACUGGAUCUCCUUAAAGGUACCUCAAUAAUGGGCUCUA